AAGAGCUGAACGUGUAAAGAAUGCGUGAAGGACAUGGACAUGGACAUGGACAUGGACAUGGACUUUGAUAGGGACUUGCAAAUAGUCAAUCCCAACAUAAGUCACGAUUAUGAUUACGACAGUACGAUACAGACAAAGCCAUACACGAUGGAAAUUGUGGUAAACAGCGUCCUACUAUACAUUGGAGUCUGUACCAACAUAUGGAUGAUCAGAUCUCUCUACAAAUCAUGGAAGACAGGCAGCAGGAUGCAUUUCUAUCUCCUUGCGAUUUGUGUUACUGACGUCCUGGGUUUGUGCAUCCGAUGCGGAGUCAGCAUCGGGAUGUAUGCAACCAUUGGAUGGAGAGGCGGAUAUUACGUAUGUAAAAUAUUUUCAGGCUUACAUAUGUUCGGAAUAACUAUGUCCCACCUUAUCCUGGCUGGAUUCAAUAUCGAUAAUCUUUUGACUAUCACCUGCAGUCGCUCCAUCAAGGCGUUGCGUAUCGUCUUCCUACUGUUAUCCUUCGUAACUACCUUCAUUAUCAGUGGCAUUAAGGUCUACUUCGCAGAUUUGGUGACCUGGGGAUACAAACACGAGGUCAAUUUAUGCAUUGUACGAGGUUUUGAUUUACUGCCACUGUUGGACACGGCGGUGUAUGUCCCACUUCCAUUUCUGAUAAUGUUACUUUUCGGUCUCCCAUCAUUGUUUGUGUGGUGCUAUAGAAACGGAACACUCAGCUGUGAGAAGAUGACAAGUGACAUUGACUCCCUUCAGUCCAUUGGCAGAGAAAUUGGAAUAGUGCUGGCUUAUGAUGUAGUUUUCUUCCUUCGCUGGGCUCCGUUCGUUGUAUAUGGGAUGUUUGGAUUACAGAGAGAGAAAUCCAGAUGUGAUGCAGGUCUCAGACGUUGUAAAAUCCACAGUUUGGUUCCUGAAGGAGGACACUUGAAUACUUCUUUGUUCCUGUUAGAUGGAGAUAGCGACAGAUUAGCCAUGGCUUUAUGUACACGAUUAGAUAUAGGAAUUGUUCGGUAACAGGUUUGAUACUUUUUUGUGUAAACCUCAGUAGUUAUACGGCCGAUUGCGUAAUUCAUCAUAUGUAGUUUUCUUCCAAAUAUCAUUCUAAUGUGUCAUAAAAAUAGCUGUUUUAUAUUAUACAAAACAGAGGCCAGUCAACAACCGUCUACACAGUUUUAAUCUUCCUGGAGACGGCAAACCCCUGUCUUAACCCGUUCAUAUAUGCCAUAUUCAACUGCAUUGGCAGACGGAGAGAAAAAACUUCUUCUGGACUGUAAAAGUCAAAAUAGUCACAAUCCCAAACAAUGACCGGAACGAAAAGACGACCGAUGUUUACAUCUCAAAUCUAUUUUCUCCUUGUGGAACGUCUUCUGUAACCAUGAUAUAUAUUUAUUUGGCAUGGACAUUACCUAUUGAGAUAUUCUACACACAUGUAUAUCUUUUUGUAUCAAUGAAGACGUUUGUGUUUUACAGAAAGCAGCCUUAAAAAAUGUAAAACCGCACUCAAUAUUCCAGCCAAGUUGAAUCCUCACUAGAUAAUCCAAUGAGCUACGAUGGCAAGCUUCAUCCAAGUCAGAUUACCCGAUCCCAUUUGUGAUCUCUUACGGAAUAGCUAAUGGCCUAUUCUAACACACUCUAAUACUGGCUUCAAUGAUAUUCGACUAUUAACUCAGUAUUCACAAUCCCAUGGAAUUCUCAGUGUGUUAUGAAACAAACAAUAAAUUGUACUUUGCAUUGUGACAGAAACAUGAUUUGGUGUCUUCCUACAAAUCUGCUUCACAUAGAUAUUCAUAUGUUUACCCUUUCAAACUAUCUGCAGUGUUUGUUGAUGAAAGAUGGCGGAGAUACUGGCCUGUGGAUCCUGGGCCAUCUUGCACAAAAACGGCUGCUUUUAUUGUAAAUACCCGUUCGUAAUAGGUCCCAUGUGUGAGUGUUUUUGACGUAUACAUGACAUGCCCCUUGCUCUCUGUAUAUUGUCUGUAUACUGAAACAUCUGCUGUAUGUCAGCAACGUAAGAUACUAUUAUAAUGUCUCCAUUCAACCUUACGACAAACAGUUAUACAUGUAUGUUCUGAUGCCAUUUUACUGUCUCUAACAACCGUUCUUGGCAAUACAUCUACACGCUUUUGUUUCCUAGCCUAAUUUUGGUAUACAUACCCUCUAUGAACAUAUUCAUCAAUAAAAAGCAGUGUUACACUGUUGAAAACACAUACAGUACAUAUGUUAGUAGCGACCACGUGUAGCAUACAGAUACUCGAAAAUCGGUGAUUGUAUUUCGUUUCAGUUAGCCUGUCAAACAGAUUUUAUCUUUCCAUUGAUAGUUAUAUAUUCUUCAAAGUUUUGUCAUUUUCUUUAAUUCAAGAAUAUGCAUGGUCAUGCUUUGUUGCAACUAUGAAUGCAGUUUUACAAAGGUGUCAGAAUUAUUUAUUUCUUUAUUUUGCUUCAAGUUCUUCUGAAAAAUAAACAUGCAUAGUUA
RNA transcript from Haliotis rubra (blacklip abalone), 2470 nucleotides. It is a transcript of the gene named cephalotocin receptor 1-like, with no coding region annotated. The record is from RefSeq and is a predicted model, not a curated record. The transcript has 6 exons. NCBI's taxonomy places the organism in Eukaryota, Metazoa, Mollusca, Gastropoda, Lepetellida, Haliotidae.